RNAcentral lists this ribosomal RNA (465 nucleotides) under uncultured bacterium. RNAcentral describes it as "partial 16S ribosomal RNA". It matches the Rfam family "Bacterial small subunit ribosomal RNA", at positions 338 to 795 of the family's 1533-position model. The record is from RNAcentral.
CCUACGGGCGGCAGCAGUGGGGAAUAUUGCGCAAUGGGCGAAAGCCUGACGCAGCGACGCCGCGUGAGGGAUGAAGGUCUUCGGAUCGUAAACCUCUGUCAGCAGGGAAGAACGGUCACUGUGCUAAUCAGCAGUGAAUUGACGGUACCUGCAAAGGAAGCACCGGCUAACUCCGUGCCAGCCGCCGCGGUAAUACGGAGGGUGCGAGCGUUAAUCGGAAUUACUGGGCUUAAAGCGCUCGUAGGCGGUAUGUCAAGUCAAGGGUGAAAUCCCCGCGCUAAACGUGGGAACUGCCUUUGAAACUGGCAAACUGGAGUGUGUGAGAGGAUAGUGGAAUUCCAGGUGUAGGAGUGAAAUCCGUAGAUAUCUGGAGGAACAUCAGUGGCGAAGGCGACUAUCUGGCACAUAACUGACGCUGAGGAGCGAAAGCGUGGGUAGCAAACAGGAUUAGAUACCCGAGUAGUC